ACCUCUAUAGCUCAGUGGUAGAGCACUUGUCACGUAAACCAGGGGUCGUGAGUUCAACAUUCUAGGGGCA
RNAcentral lists this transfer RNA (70 nucleotides) under Ciona intestinalis (vase tunicate). It matches the Rfam family "tRNA". From Rfam's summary of the family: Transfer RNA (tRNA) molecules are approximately 80 nucleotides in length. Their secondary structure includes four short double-helical elements and three loops (D, anti-codon, and T loops). Lineage: Eukaryota; Metazoa; Chordata; Ascidiacea; Phlebobranchia; Cionidae. The record is from Rfam by way of RNAcentral.